Molecule: ribosomal RNA, 253 nt
Filed under: uncultured bacterium
Lineage: Bacteria
Description: partial 16S ribosomal RNA
Rfam family: Bacterial small subunit ribosomal RNA
Source: RNAcentral
UACAGAGGUCUCAAGCGUUGUUCGGAUUCAUUGGGCGUAAAGGGUGCGUAGGUGGCGCCGUAAGUCGGGUGUGAAAUUUCGGAGCUUAACUCCGAAACUGCAUUCGAUACUGCGGUGCUUGAGGACUGGAGAGGAGACUGGAAUUCAUGGUGUAGCGGUGAAAUGCGCAGAUAUCAGGAGGAACACCAGUGGCGAAGGCAGCACUCUGGGACGGUACUGACGCUGAGACGCGAAAGCGUGGGGAGCAAACAGG